AUGCCUCUGCAGAUAUCAAAAAAUAAUCAAACAAGGCCAAGCGGACGGCAUCGACGUCGAUCUCGGCUCCGUUUGAUCGCUCCUACGACGUCACGAGCGAUCAUGGCGGAUGCUUCUGAGGAGUGCACUGAGCAAAACGUGAAAGAGCUCUCCGAGAACAUUAUAGGACAGCUGUGGCGAGUGGAGGCGAUGCUGCUCCUCAACACUAUCUUUGCAGGAGUCAUAGUUGGAAUUGGCGCCUAUGGCCACCGUUAUCGCCACUAUGGUUUCACCCGCUAUCUCAUGCUGGGGGUAACCACCUUGUUCCUACCCGUCAUAUCUUACGUCAUCUCGGCAAGUGGCUCAGUGGAUCAUCCCUUUCAUGUUCUUAUCCACGAAGAAUUGAUAGCCAAUUGCUGGGCACCAGGCCUGCACACAAGCAUGGUCAUAACAUCCACCUGCCUUGUUUUGAUUUGUGCUAUCAAUACAAGCCCGGUAGUUGCUACUGAUGAUCGAGAAGAUCGAAGUGUACGCCCCCCCUUUGAACUUCUUGUUCAAGGAAUUUGGAUUCUUUACCUAGCUAUCCCCAGCAUUGGUGGUGGACGAUCUUUUGAGUUCGCAAGAGCUUAUUUCAUAAUAACACCUUUUGCUCUUAUUUAUGCCAAAAUGGCAUUGAAAUGUUAUGCAUUUCUAAAGGCCCGGAAAUCCUUUGCACUCGGACGGAAUCCUCGUCUUAUUGUUGGAUAUAUGCAGCAACUGUUGCGAGAAGAAGGAGAUGAUCAACAUGGUGAGGAGGAUGUGAAUGUGCCUCCACCACCACUUGUAGUUACGGGUGAGGACAAACGGCAAGUCGAGAAGCAACCUGAACCUCAUGGUUACAUGUUCAGAAAUAACAUGAAGGCACUUCAAGAUGGCAACUUGGUGACCAUUGAAAGAGUUUGGCAGUUGGACACCAUGUUUCUGAUGCCAAUGCCACAACGACUGAAAGAUAUAUGCUUGUCAUUUGCAUUAUUCAAAUUGCUAAGGUGUCGAUUUGCAAGGUACAAACUCGCUAACGUUAUCACCAAGGAGACCAUCAAAUUCGUCAGAAGGGUCAUGCUAAAGGAUGGUGAACAUGAAAGAGCGUUCAGGAUGAUUGCAGAUGAGCUUUCUUUUCUUCAUGAUUAUUAUGAUUCACCACUCCCAGUCCUCUACCCAGGUAGCUGGUUUACUACAACAUUAAGUAUGGUCAUCUCACUCUUGAGCAUAUGUUACUGCAUACUUUAUGUUCUGGACGUCAUCAAAGAAGCUAGGAUAUUUCCUCAGGAGAGGGCCAUAAUUAGUUGCAUGUACUUCUGUUCUAUGAGCAAACUCGGGAGGCGUAACCAACGAGCAAUAAGGUUUGGACGUCUGCAUUUUGAUCUAGUGCCAGGUCUGUUACUCACUGUGUUCGUCGUGGUUGCUGAGGCGAGGGAUAUUGCUUCCCACAUAUGCUCUAGCUGGACCAAAGUAAUUCUCACCUGCCGCUGUGUGCGCCGUGCCUCCUUGAAGCUUCCCCCCGUCGUCCCAAAAUGGGUUGGCUGGUUGUUGCGAUGCAGAUGCGACUGGUUGCUGAGGCAUUGGAACGACAAAAUGAGACAAAGCUCAUUGCUGGUGUUUCAACGCAUGCAAUUUCACCAACUUGUUUUACCUGGCUGCCUCCUUCGUUUGCUGGACCGAAAGAGCAAUAAUGUCAAGGUACCAUCAGAAGUGAAGGCUUGCAUCAUCAACGCCCUAAGAAGUACUAGUGGAAGCAAUGGAGCUGGUCUAAGCAAAGGCAUGACAACCCUGCGCCAGAGCCAAAUUGGCAGAAGCUUACUCUGGGCCUGCAACAACAGCAAAGGUACAUCUGACACCAUACUUGUGUGGCACAUCGCCACAGCCAUCCUUGAGGUGAGGCACCCACACCAUCAAGGAGAUGGCCGGCCUUCUUCUGUUUCUGACAUGAAGAGCGCCGCCACUCACCUGUCGCGCUAUUGCGCGUAUCUAGUGGAGUUCUGCCCCGAGCUACUUCCUGAUGAUGAUGCAUGGAGCAAGCACCUGUACAAGAAAGUCAAGAAGGAUGCCAAGCGAGCCCUUGCCACCGGCGGUGGCACACCAGUGUCGUCCAUGACUCCGGAAGCAGCGUACCAGAAGUUGGUCGAGUUGUUGGGCGCUACACAGAAUCAUGAGGUGCUCAAGGAUGCCGCAAAGCUUGCAAAGCAGCUCAGGGAGCUGGCUGGAGGCGAGGAAAUGGAGUGGGAGUUGCUGGCCGGGUUUUGGUCGGAGUUGAUCCUUUACCUGGCUCCGUCGGACAAUCUCAAAGGGCACCUGCAGGCCGUCGAUCGGGGCGGCGAGCUGAUCACGCUCCUCUGGGCCUUGAUCACCCACAUCGGGAUCAUCGACAGGCCCGGCGACACCGCUGCAAGUGCUCCAGCCAUUGGUGUUUAA
Molecule: ribosomal RNA, 2427 nt
Filed under: Triticum aestivum (bread wheat)
Lineage: Eukaryota; Viridiplantae; Streptophyta; Magnoliopsida; Poales; Poaceae
Description: partial small subunit ribosomal RNA
Source: RNAcentral